Choloepus didactylus (southern two-toed sloth) is the source of this 830-nucleotide long non-coding RNA. RefSeq lists it as uncharacterized. NCBI's taxonomy places the organism in Eukaryota, Metazoa, Chordata, Mammalia, Pilosa, Megalonychidae. The record is from RefSeq and is a predicted model, not a curated record. The transcript is spliced from 3 exons.
GGAAGAUGUAACCAUGAGCAGAAGGCUGAACAAGAAGUCUGGGAAGGAACCGGGAACCCGGGUCUAGAAGGGCUGAAACGGAUGGCAGAGUAUGGAGUUCUAGGAUUCAGUUCAUCCUCCAGGGCAGCUCUAUCUGAAACAACUGUUUGGGGACUGCAGAGACCCAAACACUAUACACCAUCCAGGGUUGAGCAAUGACAUGAUGGAAGAUGCAUCUUUCCUGCAGAUCCUCUCCUUGCUCCAACUGGGAAAACACAUCUGAUUUGCAGACCUGAAAUCCCACUGAAACCAGAUGAUUGAUGAUCUCUGCCAUUAGAUGUCUGAACAGCUUUCUCUGGGAUGUGUCCAACAUAGCCCACUCUUCUUGGGGGAAGUCUAUAGCUGUAUCUUUGAAUGCCACUGACUCCAGUGGCUGCACUGUCAAAAGCUCAGAUGACAACUGUCUUCUCCUGAGUUUCCUUUCCAACCAGAAAGCAGUAGUGGAGCAAAGCAGAUGAACCUUGUGUUUCAGCUUUUUUCUCUUUCCCCUCCCCUGGCUUCAGAGGCCCAAUGGCAUUGGACUAUUAUGAAGAAACUUUGAAGAAAUCUCAAAAAUUCCCCUUGUAGAACAUGUACACAUUUGAAAAAUAUUUUGUGGAUGUUGCAGACUUGUCUUAGAGCCACCAACACUUCCAGGGGUGGAUCCUGGGAAAGUCUGAAGCCCAGGAGGGGGUGCCCCCGAUAAUUGUUUUUUAAUGGGAUUAUAAGUAUCAGAACUGCAUUGAAGGUGAACAGGAUUGAAACGGGUUGUUUAAAGGCAUGUAUCUCAGAGAUCAGCACUGCAAAUAUAG